CCUACGGGGGGCUGCAGUGGGGAAUAUUGGACAAUGGGCGAAAGCCUGAUCCAGCCAUGCCGCGUGUGUGAAGAAGGCCUUCGGGUUGUAAAGCACUUUCAGUGGGGAAGAAAGCCUUGGGGCUAAUACCCUCGAGGAAGGACAUCACCCACAGAAGAAGCACCGGCUAACUCCGUGCCAGCAGCCGCGGUAAUACGGAGGGUGCGAGCGUUAAUCGGAAUUACUGGGCGUAAAGCGCGCGUAGGCGGUCUGAUAAGCCGGUUGUGAAAGCCUCGGGCUCAACCUGGGAACGGCAUCCGGAACUGUCAGGCUAGAGUGCAGGAGAGGAAGGUAGAAUUCCCGGUGUAGCGGUGAAAUGCGUAGAGAUCGGGAGGAAUACCAGUGGCGAAGGCGGCCUUCUGGACUGACACUGACGCUGAGGUGCGAAAGCGUGGGUAGCAAACAGGAUUAGAUACCCGUGUAGUC
RNAcentral lists this ribosomal RNA (465 nucleotides) under Vreelandella stevensii. RNAcentral describes it as "partial 16S ribosomal RNA". It matches the Rfam family "Bacterial small subunit ribosomal RNA", at positions 338 to 795 of the family's 1533-position model. Lineage: Bacteria; Pseudomonadati; Pseudomonadota; Gammaproteobacteria; Oceanospirillales; Halomonadaceae. The record is from RNAcentral.